GCACUGGCAAAAUCCAGUGCCGGGAUUAGUACCCCGUUUAUACAAAGGCGCACAAGUCGUCUGUUUUAUGCAUUACGGCUUUUUU
This 85-nucleotide small RNA is filed under the name Marinomonas sp. S3726. Its description in RNAcentral is "isrK Hfq binding RNA". It matches the Rfam family "isrK Hfq binding RNA". Lineage: Bacteria; Pseudomonadati; Pseudomonadota; Gammaproteobacteria; Oceanospirillales; Oceanospirillaceae. The record is from Rfam by way of RNAcentral.